Mytilus trossulus (common blue mussel) is the source of this 1084-nucleotide long non-coding RNA. RefSeq lists it as uncharacterized. Lineage: Eukaryota; Metazoa; Mollusca; Bivalvia; Mytilida; Mytilidae. The record is from RefSeq and is a predicted model, not a curated record. The transcript is spliced from 3 exons.
AGGUUCUUCUGUGAUAUGUUUUCAUGGUGUGGGAAUAAGACUUGGUGGUCUAAUACAACUAAUACAAAGGUUAGCAUCACAGCUUGUCUGUAAGGAUUGAAGCUGGGAGUGGGCAUUGGAGCGGACUUUUAUGAUAACUUUGGCUGCAUAAGAUGGUAGUGUUAUAUAACUGCAACAGUACAGAAUGUAAUUCAGACUAUUUUUGUGUAUGCUCGAAAAAAUGUUUAUAUUUUUAAUUGUAAAGAUUCUCCAUUUUCAACAAGAUUGGAAGUUGAAGGUUUACUUAUGUAUUUGGCUUUACAAAAAUUCUUUCUAUUUUCCAUUUAUACUUAUGUCUAGUCAUAACACUUCCAGCAGUUUAAGAAUGGAGAAUCUAAAAAAGAAAAAAAGAAAAAAGAAAGAAAGAAAAGAAAAAAAAUGUUCAAUUAUUGAAAUGUAUUUUUUUUGCAAAUUGUAAUGUAUAUAGUUUGCCAUAUUUUUGUUAUUUUAGGAUUUGAGAUACUUUCAAAUUUUAUAAGUUACUUUGUACAUGUAGUUGAUGCAAUCAAAUCUGCCGAUGUAAAUAUUCUCACUUAAUUUCAUAGCAAAAUUUUUACUUAUUUUGGGUUUUUUUUGGCAAAAAGUUUCACAAUACCUUACCAUAGCAAAUGCCUCUCUAGUGUACACUUAGACGUCAAAAUUUUACGGGAACCUGUGUGAUAUCCAGUAAUGGCGGACAAAUAGGGAUAAGGUGUAUGGUCUGCACUUCAUGUAUCCCCUUACAACCUUUUUUCAUGUUAAUUGUAAUAUCUUUAAGAUAUGUGACAAGGGUGCGCUAAUGCAGAGGAAUUUAUGAAGUUAAUAAGUUAGAAAUAUAUUUUUUGCAUUUUUUUGUCAUUUUAGCUGAUUUUGGUCUGUAACCAAGGUGUUAUUUUGAAAGAAUAAUUUUACAAAAGGUAUUAUUUGAAGAACAUCUUGUUGAAAUUGGAUUGGUUGUUUUUUUGGUGAUAAACACCUUUUUAACAUAACUUUUAGUAUUAUUUUGGCUGUAAAUUUUUAUUUGUGGAGACCGCCAGAGUACACGUUGUAGACGGAUGAGCAAACA